UCCGGUGGCGAUGGCAGAGGGGAAACACCCGUUCCCAUUCCGAACACGGUCGUUAAGCCCUCUAGCGCCGAUGGUACUGCGUGGGAGACUGCGUGGGAGAGUAGGACGCUGCCGGGG
RNAcentral lists this ribosomal RNA (117 nucleotides) under Candidatus Eiseniibacteriota bacterium. The record is from RNAcentral. Lineage: Bacteria; Candidatus Eiseniibacteriota.